This 773-nucleotide ribosomal RNA is filed under the name uncultured Neocallimastigales. RNAcentral's name for it is "partial large subunit ribosomal RNA". It matches the Rfam family "Eukaryotic large subunit ribosomal RNA", at positions 18 to 636 of the family's 3401-position model. The record is from RNAcentral. Lineage: Eukaryota; Fungi; Neocallimastigomycota; Neocallimastigomycetes; Neocallimastigales.
CAGACGAUGCGUCAUGCAUAUCAAUAAGCGGAGGAAAAGAAACUAACUAGGAUUCCCUCAGUAACGGCGAGUGAAGCGGGAAGAGCUCAAAUUUGAAAUCUUCAAGGUUCUACCUUGACGAAUUGUAGUUUAAAGAAGUGUUUUCGGUUAGAGGAGUAGUAAAAGUUCUUUGGAAUAGGACAUCAUAGAGGGUGAGAAUCCCGUAUUUGACCAUUCUUUCUAGCUUUGUGAUACACUUUCAAAGAGUCGGAUUGUUUGGGAAUGCAGUCCAAAAUGGGUGGUAAAUUUCAUCUAAAGCUAAAUAUUGGCGAGAGACCGAUAGCGAACAAGUACCGCGAGGGAAAGAUGAAAAGAACUUUGAAAAGAGAGUUAAACAGUACGUGAAAUUGUCAAAAGGGAAGCGUUUGACACCAGUGUUGUUUUCUCGAAAAUCAAUUAAAAAAGGCCGGAUUUUGUGUUGUAUUGACUUUAUCAGCUUUCUGCACUUUUUUCCUGCUUUUUUUAAUGCACUUUUCGUUUAACAAGUCAACAUCAGUUUCUUUUGUUGUAAAAGGGUCAUUGGAAGGUGGCUUUCUCUUCGGAGAAAGUGUUUAUAGCCUUUGAUCUCUGCAAUCGGAGAGACUGAGGUCUGCAGCGUAGAUCCUUCGGGGUUAGAUACAUUUGUGCUAAGCUACAGCUUUUCAUAGACAACUUGUUGACUAUGUUUAGUCUUGUAACUUACCCGCUUAUGCUAUUUUACCUACGCUUAGGAUGUUGAUAUGCAUGACUGAUAU